AGGACGAACGCUGGCGGCGUGCUUAACACAUGCAAGUCGAGCGGAAAGGCCCUUCGGGGUACUCGAGCGGCGAACGGGUGAGUAACACGUGAGCAAUCUGCCCCUAGCUCUGGGAUAGCUCCGGGAAACCGGGAUUAAUACCAGAUACAACCACUUUAGACAUCUUUUGUGGUGGAAAGGAUUCCGGCUAGGGAUGAGCUCGCGGCCUAUCAGCUUGUUGGUUGGGGUAACGGCCCACCAAGGCGACGACGGGUAGCCGGCCUGAGAGGGCGACCGGCCACACUGGGACUGAGACACGGCCCAGACUCCUACGGGAGGCAGCAGUGGGGAAUAUUGCGCAAUGGGCGAAAGCCUGACGCAGCGACGCCGCGUGGGGGAUGAAGGCCUUCGGGUUGUAAACCCCUUUCACCAGGAGCGAAUUCAGACGGUACCUGGGGAAGAAGCGCCGGCUAACUACGUGCCAGCAGCCGC
RNAcentral lists this ribosomal RNA (471 nucleotides) under uncultured bacterium. Its description in RNAcentral is "SSU rRNA". It matches the Rfam family "Bacterial small subunit ribosomal RNA", at positions 26 to 518 of the family's 1533-position model. The record is from RNAcentral.